AUUGAACGCUGGCGGCAUGCCUUACACAUGCAAGUCACGGGGGCCCGCGAGGGCAACCGGCGAACGGGUGCGUAACACGUGAGCAACCUGCCCUCGUGUGGGGGAUAGCCGGGCUAACGCCCGGGUAAUACCGCAUACGGUCAUCGGGAGGAGUCUCCUGGUGAAGAAAGCUCCGGCGCACGGGGAGGGGUUCGCGGCCUAUCAGCUAGUUGGUGCGGUAACGGCGCACCAAGGCGACGACGGGAGCUGGUCUGAGAGGAUGGCCAGCCACAUUGGGACUGAGAGACGGCCCAGACUCCUACGGGAGGCAGCAGUGGGGAAUCUUGCGCAAUGGCCGAAAGGCUGACGCAGCGACGCCGCGUGUGGGAGGACGCCUUUCGGGU
Molecule: ribosomal RNA, 383 nt
Filed under: uncultured bacterium
Lineage: Bacteria
Description: bacterial SSU rRNA
Rfam family: Bacterial small subunit ribosomal RNA
Source: RNAcentral